AUACCCUACACCCUACCAACUGAUGGUGACGCCAGCUUUACCAUAAACCGUAGGUUGUAGUUUAGUAGGUAAGGUUAGGUCAGGUUAGAUAAUGUUUUGUUCUGUUAGACUAGGUGGGUAUUUGAUUAGAUUUAAAAGCGAAUUUUGUGUAAAUGUCGCAAGAACUGGAGAGUCUAGCGACUUCACAAAUGGGUGGCAGCAUGUGAGAUGCCUGCUAUAUGAAUACCAGAAAGCCUUCUCUAUGCCUCAACCCCCUGUUCUGGGCUGGGCGGACACUUUCAUCCCAUGUGGGAAGCUCCCCUAGGAGCAUACACGGAGCCAGGUGCAGUGUCAGGGACAGGGUGCCCUGUUCACUGGAUGGGCUCAGCCCCAAUGACUUGUACCAGGGUGUUUGCCCAUACCAAUAGCUCCCCCUAAUUCCUAUCAUUCCUCCAACUCUGUAGUCUUUUUGGGCCAAAACUUGAAAGGCAACCCAACAAAACUUUAAAUUGAUUUUUAACUUGUGGCAUAGUACUUACUAUUUUGCCAGUCUGACAACAUCCCAUUACUGCCUUGACUGGCUUUCUUCUCUCUCAGGCUGAUCCUGUGUCACAGAGCCACAUAGAUGAGCAGCUACCCAUCGUAGGAUGCACACUCAACCUCCUGCUAGUUUCUGAGCCAAGUCAGCUUGACAGAGGGGUCUGCUAAUGCACAGUCACCUAGCCACUGCUAACAGAUGCUGGCUGGGACAGACGCUCAUCAAAGGUGUGCCACACGACAUGGGCAUUCUCGUUCUGCAUCAAGCCUCAAGGCUCGUUGCUGUCGGCGGUUCUGAAGACAGCGGUGCGAUCCAGCUGAAGGACGUCACCUGGCAGGAAGUUGUAGAGUGUGGUGGCCAGUAUCAAGCCACAUUGUUCAGAAACCAUCACAUUAUCUCCAGGUCACUAGUCGCCGGUGCUCGAGCUGACGGCGUCGUUCAAGGGCUCCACGGUGACAAGCGCCGUCACCGCUGCCGCCGCCGCCGAGACCAUCCGACUCCUGGGCCCUGUUUCACGGCAGCGUACUGCAGCGCGCUACGCAGCGCUGCUGUGUUAGUGCGGCGAUUGAGACGAAUUCGGCUCGACGCUCCAGCGUUGCGAAACACCCGUGUCUAUGAAGGAUACGCCGAUACGUCUUCCAGCUUCAAGCCCUUCCCGCCCCCCCCCCCCCCCCCCCGCCCCGUCCCAACGGUGUUGGCCGAGAUUGGGGUUGGUAUUUUAACGGGCUCUCCGAUGACGUCCCGCAAUUUGUGUUAUGUAAUUUGACGAUUAUGUCGUAGUCUCAUUCUGUCUCGAUAUGCUAAUAAAUGAUAAAUGGGACGGAGGUUGGAAGUAAGGUGUGAGUGGCUGUAACCGGCAGGUUUUGGCGAGCGCGAUAUUAGUUAUUGUGAGCGCGCCAGCUGCAUUAAAUCGCGCGCUUCUGGCGAGAAAAUACUUGCUCUGGAACCUAGAAGUUUGUCGUGAAAUCUAUGUGCCUUUGGAUUGAAUUAUUAGAACAUAAUGUACUUUCGGUGUCCAGCACUGCAGCUCUGGAAAUAGAAAUAUGGAUGUUGGCUGUUUGAUGUAGCAAGGGCUAACAAUCUGCGUCAAGAAUCAAAAGCUGUAUGCAAAUUAAAGUGAAUAUAUUUCAUUUAUUCAAUGAAUUUUUAAAUUUUGUGAUACAAAACAUAAAUGUGUCAACUACUGAUUACACCCGGCUGCAAACACUGUAACGCUUGCAAUGCUGUACGGCAAAUAAAUAAUAUAGAUUCU
RNAcentral lists this long non-coding RNA (1769 nucleotides) under Amphibalanus amphitrite. Its description in RNAcentral is "uncharacterized LOC122364290, transcript variant X2". The record is from RNAcentral. Lineage: Eukaryota; Metazoa; Arthropoda; Thecostraca; Balanomorpha; Balanidae.